Molecule: ribosomal RNA, 182 nt
Filed under: Campylobacter coli
Lineage: Bacteria; Pseudomonadati; Campylobacterota; Epsilonproteobacteria; Campylobacterales; Campylobacteraceae
Description: partial 23S ribosomal RNA
Rfam family: Bacterial large subunit ribosomal RNA
Source: RNAcentral
AAAGGUAAGCUACUAAGAGCGAAUGGUGGAUGCCUUGACUGGUAAAGGCGAUGAAGGACGUACUAGACUGCGAUAAGCUACGGGGAGCUGUCAAGAAGCUUUGAUCCGUAGAUUUCCGAAUGGGGCAACCCAAUGUAUAGAGAUAUACAUUACCUAUAUAGGAGCGAACGAGGGGAAUUGAA